This 440-nucleotide ribosomal RNA is filed under the name uncultured bacterium. RNAcentral's name for it is "partial 16S ribosomal RNA". It matches the Rfam family "Bacterial small subunit ribosomal RNA", at positions 338 to 795 of the family's 1533-position model. The record is from RNAcentral.
CCUACGGGAGGCAGCAGUAGGGAAUAUUGCUCAAUGGGGGAAACCCUGAAGCAGCAACGCCGCGUGGAGGAUGAAGGUUUUCGGAUUGUAAACUCCUUUUGUUAGAGAAGAUAAUGACGGUAUCUAACGAAUAAGCACCGGCUAACUCCGUGCCAGCAGCCGCGGUCAUACGGAGGGUGCAAGCGUUACUCGGAAUCACUGGGUGUAAAGAGCGCGUAGGCGGGAUAGCAAGUCAGAUGUGAAAUCCUAUGGCUUAACCAUAGAUCUGCAUUUGAAACUGUUAGUCUAGAGUAUGGGAGAGGUAGGUGGAAUUCUUGGUGUAGGGGUAAAAUCCGUAGAGAUCAAGAGGAAUACGCAUUGCGAAGGCGACCUGCUAGAACAUAACUGACGCUGAUGCGCGAAAGCGUGGGGAGCAAACAGGAUUAGAUACCCCGGUAGUC